CAGGCGGCAUCUGGGGCUUCUGGGGCCGGCCUGCGACCUAGGAUCGGAUCUAUCAUGGGUGGAAGCCAGGCAUCUUCUGGGGCCCGCCUGCGGCCUGGGAUGGAUCCGAUCACAGGCGGCAGGCAGGCGGCUUCUGGGGUCGCACAUGGGGGCCUGGAUGGCGGCUCACAUUCAUGCUGUCCUGCCCUGUCGGCAGUAUGCAAAUUAGCUGCCAUCUUUGUUGGUGGUUAAUUUGCAUAUUGCACUGAUUAGCCAAUGGGAGGUGUAGUGAAGGUAUGGUCAAUUACCAUGUUUGUCUAUUAUUAGAUAGGAUAGAAUAAAUUUGCUUAAUUAGACCUGCUUUCUGAUGUAGCUAAAGUUUUUCCAGCACCAACUUCUCUUUCAGAUAAUUGUCAGCAACACAGCAGUAAUAUCAACACGAAGCAGAUUAUUAUUGUAGAUCACGCAGGGAGAACAAAGGGUAAAAUAUUUAACUGCAGUAGUGUUUGACUAUAUUCUGCGCAGUGAGAAAACCUGAAGUCAUUUUCAAGGUCCACCAUUUCUUCUUUUCAGUCAGGUCAAAUUUCUAAGCUUUCUAAAUCUCCGUUUUCCGGCUAAUGAAAAGAAAAGAGGAUUCUACCAAGUCUCUUAUCUACAUACUCCAGGACUUCUGUGAGGAUCAAAUGAGAUGAGGCACAGGAAAACGCUUCACAGACAUUUUGUUAAAGUGUAAAAUCUUUGCACAUGGCUAUAAAGCAAGUCAUGUUCUUGGGCUGAAGAAACUGCAAGGAGGCUAGUCGUCGCUAGGGAGAGGAAGCCGGGCGUUGCUAUGUGAUGUCAUCACCUGGUGCCCACAGCGACUGUUUUUGGCCUGGGCUGGGCUGUGGACUGCAUUUGGCAUCAUGGGGUCUCGGCAAUGUCAGCCGCAAUUUGGUGGGCCAUCACUCCAGGGUGGUGGAUGGGCCUAUGUCCCACUUGGGGGAAGCUGAGUGUCACUUUUGGCUGCACAAUUUUACAUUCCCACCAGCAAUAUAUUAAGAUUUCCCAUACCUCCUUGCCAGGCAACAUUGUUACUGUCUGUCUUUUUUAUUUUAGCCAUCUUGGUUGAUAUGAAGUGUUAUUUCAUUGAGACAUUGUUAUAUUUCUCAGGUAUUUUUUUCCAGACUUUAUUCUACACACAUACACAUACACAAACAGAUGUAUUCUUCAAAAAAAAUUGAUCUAUUUAAUUACUAAGCACAAUAGUAGAAGGAAGACUAUUUCUAGCAUUGAUUUAGUUUUUACUAUAUGCCAAGUUCUCCAUGCCAGUGAAAUACUUUCUUGGCUUUAUUUCAAUUAGUCCUUAAAACAACCCUGUAUACUCAGGUGCUAUUAUCUGCAUUUUGCAAAUGAGGAAACUAAGGUUUACAGCUUGUGUUUGGCAGAGUUGGAAUAUGAACACCUUUUGGCUAACUGCAACCAUUCUAACCUGCACCCUUAGUCACAGCACUGUUUACAAGUAACAAAUUACAAAAUGGGAAAGAAGGGUCUCCAUAGACAGAAAAGAGAAAGAGCAGAUGAUCCAAGAUGGUAGUGGAGUAGAUACCCGUUUCACUCAGCUCCUCUCAGGACCAAACUGGAAUUACAGCUAAAAUACAGAGCAGGCUACUUGAAUAACCAACUGAAGACUAGCUGAAAAGUCUUAUGACCAAGGAUUUACAGAAGAGACCACAUCGAGACUGGUGGGAAGGGCAGAGACGCAUAAAGGGCUGGUCCCACUCUCAAGGAGGUUGACAUUGUGGAGAGAGAUCUCAGCUGCCUUAAAGGUUCCCCCUGAGAAGCGUGGGGUCUCAAGGCCAAGCCAGGAAGACACACCCACAUAACACUGAAAAUCAGCAGGGAUUCUGUCCUCAGGAAGAGACUGGAGUCUGUUGGAGACACAUGCUCCCUCUUAAAGGUCCAAAGCAUAAAAUCUUGUUUGCAGCCACUCACCCUGGGCUCUGAAGAAAGAGGGUGGAUCAGAGUAGAGUCCCCUGAAGAGAGGCUGGGAUUAUGGCCUGGGGAGCAAGCUGAGGGACAGCUGCCAGGAUACCUGUGCUGAGUCACUCUCCCACACCAGAUGCCGUCUUUCUUGGGUGGAGCACUCCCUUCCUUGCAGCAUCAGCCAGGGGAAUGCAAUAAAUAGCCUCACACUCCGGAUUCCCUGUAGCACAGCCCUGCAGAGCUUGUGUUCUGCUGAGGAGUCGGUUGCCUGGGCCAAGCUGUAGAGACCUGGGCAGCCUUAGGGGUGUCUCUGAAGAGUUGUGUGGCUUUGGGGCAGGGUCCAUUCACCCACUUACCCAUGAACCUGACUGGUGCUCCCCCGGCCCCCAUAGGAGAUCCACUUGCCCCAUUCAACAUUGUACUGGAAGUCUUAGCCACAGCAGUCAGACAUGAAGAAGAAAUAAAAGGCAUUUAAAUUGGAAAGGAAGGAGUAAAACUCAUAAUUUGCAGAUAAUAUGAUACUGUAUAUAGAGAACCCUAAGAUUCCACCAAAAAACUACAAGAACUGAUAAUUGAAUUCAGCAAAAUACAGUAAACCCUCGAUUUUUCAGAACUCGAUUUAACAACUUCAGAUUUAACAGACAAAAUUUCCGGUCCGUAUGUCAUGUGUUAAUUAACACCCUGUUAAUUUUAAAAUACUUCUAACCAAGAUUUGCUUAUAAUUAAGUUAUCAGGUUAUUUUUUUGUUAUUAAUUCGCUUAUUUUUAACAAAUUUUAGUAUAUGUUUGAAAAAACACUACAGUAAGGCCAUGUGUUGGGGGAAAACACUAUAGUAAUUUUGCCAACAUAAAUAUUACAUAUUACAAUUAUAGUCUACAGAUUUAAAUUCAAGAGUAACCUUUCCUAAACAAUGUUCCAUGAAUGAUUAGCAUGUGAUCACAGGACAUCUCGAGGUAAUUGGUUCUGUUGUCAUGUGGCAUGACUUUCUGCAGCAGUUUUAACGCAUGUGCUAAGACACGCCCCAGGGAUAUGCAUUUGUUUGCUUGAGGUGACUGGUAAAUGCAUGCAUUUAUUAGACCUAUUCAGUAUAAAUUUUAAAUUACUAUAAUACAUAUAGAAAACUUUUCUGUGAAAUUAAACUUUUCAUACAUACUUAAUCUUAAUUACACAAAUAAAACAGGUAAACUCAUUUGUCAGUUUUUUAACAUGCAUUUGGGAAACCUUUAUUAUAUAAUAGAUGUUCAGCUUUAAUGGACAGCCCCUCACCCGAAUUAGUCCAUUAUAUCAAAGUUUUACUGUAGCAGGAUAUAAAAUAAAUGUCCAGGAAUCAGUUGCGUUUUUUACACCAAUAAUGAACUAUCAGAAAGGGAAACUAAGAAAAUAAUCCCAUUUACAGUUGCAUCAAACAAAAAGAAAAUACUUAAGAGUAAAUUUAACUAAGGAUGUAAAAGACCCUGUACUCGGAAAAUUAUAAGACAUUGAAGAAAGAAAUCGAUGCUGCAAAUAAGUGGAAGCAUAUACCGUGCUUAGGGAUAGGAAGAAUUAAAAUCAUUAAAAUGUCCAUACUAUCCAAAGCAAUCUAUAGAUUCAACGCAAUUCCUAUCAAGAUACCAAUGGUGUAUGUCACAGAACUAGAGCAAACAUUCCAAAAAUUUAUAUGGAAUCAUAAAAGACCCAGAAUAGCCACAGAAAUCUUGAGAAAAAAGAAUGAAGUUGGAGGAAUCAUGCUAACUGAUAUCAAACUAUACUACAAAGCUAUGGUAAUCAAAAAGCAUGGUAUUGACAUAAAAACAGACACACAGAUUAAUGGAACAGAAUAGAGAGCCCAGAAAUAAACCUACACCUUUAUGGUCAAUUACUAUGUGACAAAGGAGGCAAAAACAUACAGUUGGGGUAAAGAUAGUCAAUUGAAUAAAUGGUGUUGGGAAAAUUGGAUAGAUGCCA
Myotis daubentonii (Daubenton's bat) is the source of this 3885-nucleotide long non-coding RNA. RefSeq lists it as uncharacterized. NCBI's taxonomy places the organism in Eukaryota, Metazoa, Chordata, Mammalia, Chiroptera, Vespertilionidae. The record is from RefSeq and is a predicted model, not a curated record. The transcript has 2 exons.